GACGAACGCUGGCGGCGUGCUUAACACAUGCAAGUCGAACGGAAAGGCCCUGCUUUCGUGGGGUGAUCGAGUGGCGAACGGGGGAGUAAGACGUGAGUAACCUGCCCUUCAUUUUGGGAUAACUUCAGGAAGCGGGGGUUAAUACCAUACAGGAGACGCCCCAGCAUGGAGGGGGUUGGAAAGUCUCGGCGGUCGGGGAUGGAGUCGCGGCUUAUGAGCUUGCUGGUGGGGUAGUGGCUUACCAAGGCUUUGACGGGUAGCCGGCCGGGGAGGGUGAACGGCGACAUUGGGACUGAGGUACGGAGCAGAGUCGAACAGGAGACAGCGGUGGGGAAUAUUGCACAAUGGGCCGAAGCCUGAUGCAGCAGCGCCGGGUGCGGGAUGACGGCCUUCGGGUUAUAAACCGCUUUCGCCUGUGACGAAGCGUGAGUGACGGUACUGGGUGAAGAAGCACCGGCUAACUACGUG
RNAcentral lists this ribosomal RNA (468 nucleotides) under uncultured bacterium. RNAcentral's name for it is "partial 16S ribosomal RNA". It matches the Rfam family "Bacterial small subunit ribosomal RNA", at positions 28 to 507 of the family's 1533-position model. The record is from RNAcentral.